This 253-nucleotide ribosomal RNA is filed under the name uncultured bacterium. Its description in RNAcentral is "partial 16S ribosomal RNA". It matches the Rfam family "Bacterial small subunit ribosomal RNA", at positions 524 to 776 of the family's 1533-position model. The record is from RNAcentral.
UACGUAGGUGGCAAUCGUUGUCCGGAAUUAUUGGGCGUAAAGCGCGCGCAGGCGGUCUCUUAAGUCUGAUGUGAAAGCCCACGGCUCAACCGUGGAGGGUCAUUGGAAACUGGGGGACUUGAGUACAGAAGAGGAAAGUGGAAUUCCACGUGUAGCGGUGAAAUGCGUAGAUAUGUGGAGGAACACCAGUGGCGAAGGCGACUUUCUGGUCUGUAACUGACGCUGAGGCGCGAAAGCGUGGGGAGCAAACAGG